This 699-nucleotide ribosomal RNA is filed under the name uncultured bacterium. RNAcentral describes it as "bacterial SSU rRNA". It matches the Rfam family "Bacterial small subunit ribosomal RNA", at positions 8 to 714 of the family's 1533-position model. The record is from RNAcentral.
AGAGUUUGAUCCUGGCUCAGGACGAACGUUGGCGGUGCGCUUAAUGCAUGCAAGUCGAGGGAGAACCUUUCGAUCCGUAAGGACCGAAUGGGGAAACCGGCGAACGGGUGCGUAACACGUGAGGAACCUGCCCCGAAGACCGGGAUAGCCCGAGGAAACUCGGAUUAAUACCGGAUACCCUCCUCGGACCACAUGGUCUGUUGAGGAAAUGGUCCGCCGCUUCGGGAUGGCCUCGCGGCCUAUCAGCUUGUUGGUGAGGUAAUGGCUCACCAAGGCAAAGACGGGUAGCUGGUCUGAGAGGACGAUCAGCCACACUGGGACUGAGACACGGCCCAGACUCCUACGGGAGGCAGCAGCAGGGAAUAUUGCACAAUGGGCGAAAGCCUGAUGCAGCGACACCGCGUGCGGGAUGAAGGCCCUCGGGUUGUAAACCGCUUUCAGGAGGGACGAAAAUGACGGUACCUCCAGAAGAAGGCCCGGCCAACUACGUGCCAGCAGCCGCGGUAAUACGUAGGGGCCAAACGUUGUCCGGAUUUAUUGGGCGUAAAGGGCUCGUAGGCGGUUCAACAAGUCGAUCGUGAAAGCCCGGGGCUCAACCCCGGGACGCCGGUCGAAACUGUUGUGACUAGGGUCCGGUAGAGGUGAGUGGAAUUCUCGGUGUUAGCGUGGAAUGCGCAGAUAUCGAGAGGAACACAGUUG